RNAcentral lists this ribosomal RNA (381 nucleotides) under uncultured bacterium. RNAcentral describes it as "partial 16S ribosomal RNA". It matches the Rfam family "Bacterial small subunit ribosomal RNA", at positions 961 to 1348 of the family's 1533-position model. The record is from RNAcentral.
GCGAANAACCUUACCUGGGCUAAAUCCGGCUUGACCGCUCCUGAAAAGGAGUUUCCUUCGGGGCAGGCUGGAAGGUGCUGCAUGGCUGUCGUCAGCUCGUGCCGUGAGGUGUUGCCUUAAGUGGCGCAACGAGCGCAACCCCUGUGGUUAGUUACCAGCACGUUAUGGUGGGGACUCUAGCCAGACUGCCUACGCAAGUAGUGAGGAAGGUGGGGACGACGUCAAGUCAUCAUGGCCCUUAUGUCCAGGGCUGCACACGUGCUACAAUGGAUGGUACAAUGGGAAGCCACCCGGUGACGGGGAGCAGAUCCAUAAAACCAUUUCCAGUUCGGANUGGAGUUUGCAACUUGACUCCAGAAGNUNGNAUNUAGUUAUCGNGNU